Molecule: ribosomal RNA, 253 nt
Filed under: uncultured bacterium
Lineage: Bacteria
Description: partial 16S ribosomal RNA
Rfam family: Bacterial small subunit ribosomal RNA
Source: RNAcentral
UACGUAGGGGGCUAGCGUUGUCCGGAAUCAUUGGGCGUAAAGAGCGUGUAGGCGGCCCGGUAAGUCCGCUGUGAAAGUCGGGGGCUCAACCCUCGAAUGCCGGUGGAUACUGUCGGGCUAGAGUGCGGAAGAGGCGAGUGGAAUUCCUGGUGUAGCGGUGAAAUGCGCAGAUAUCAGGAGGAACACCAAUGGCGAAGGCAGCUCGCUGGGACGUGACUGACGCUGAGACGCGAAAGCGUGGGGAUCAAACAGG